AAUGGGCGCAAGCCUGAACCAGCGACGCCGCGUGAGUGAUGAAGGCCUUCGGGUUGUAAAGCUCUGUGGGGAGGAAAGAAAAAACCAAGUCGAAUAGGCUUGGGAAUUGACGGUACCUCCUUAGCAAGCACCGGCUAACUCUGUGCCAGCAGCCGCGGUAAGACAGAGGGUGCAAACGUUGCUCGGAAUUACUGGGCGUAAAGCGCGUGUAGGCGGAUAGGCAAGUCCGGCGUGAACGCCCUAGGCUCAACCUAGGAAUUGCACUGGAAACUGCCUGUCCGGAGUACUGGAGAGGAAAGCGGAAUUCCUGGUGUAGAGGUGAAAUUCGUAGAUAUCAGGAGGAACACCGGUGGCGAAGGCGGCUUUCUGGACAGUUACUGACGCUGAGACGCGAAAGCGUGGGGAGCAAA
This 410-nucleotide ribosomal RNA is filed under the name uncultured bacterium. RNAcentral's name for it is "bacterial SSU rRNA". It matches the Rfam family "Bacterial small subunit ribosomal RNA", at positions 370 to 772 of the family's 1533-position model. The record is from RNAcentral.